RNAcentral lists this ribosomal RNA (469 nucleotides) under uncultured Actinomycetes bacterium. RNAcentral describes it as "bacterial SSU rRNA". It matches the Rfam family "Bacterial small subunit ribosomal RNA", at positions 156 to 638 of the family's 1533-position model. Lineage: Bacteria; Bacillati; Actinomycetota; Actinomycetes. The record is from RNAcentral.
ACGGGGUCUAAUACCGGAUAUCACACUCUUGGGCAUCCAGGGGUGUUGAAAGUUCUGGCGGUGCAGGAUGAACCCGCGGCCUAUCAGCUUGUUGGUGGGGUGAUGGCCUACCAAGGCGACGACGGGUAGCCGGCCUGAGAGGGUGACCGGCCACACUGGGACUGAGACACGGCCCAGACUCCUACGGGAGGCAGCAGUGGGGAAUAUUGCACAAUGGGCGCAAGCCUGAUGCAGCGACGCCGCGUGAGGGAUGACGGCCUUCGGGUUGUAAACCUCUUUCGCCAGGGGACGAAGCGCAAGUGACGGUACCUGGAUAAGAAGCACCGGCUAACUACGUGCCAGCAGCCGCGGUAAUACGUAGGGUGCGAGCGUUGUCCGGAUUUAUUGGGCGUAAAGAGCUCGUAGGCGGUUUGUCGCGUCGGCCGUGAAAUCUCCACGCUUAACGUGGAGCGUGCGGUCGAUACGGGCA